GAUCCUGGCUCAGGAUGAACGCUAGCGACAGGCUUAACACAUGCAAGUCGAGGGGCAGCAUAAAAGUAGCAAUACUUGGUGGCGACCGGCGCACGGGUGAGUAACGCGUAUGCAACCUACCUAUCAGAGGGGAAUAACCCGGCGAAAGUCGGACUAAUACCGCAUAAAACAGGGGCACCGCAUGGUGAUAUUUGUUAAAGAAAUUCGCUGAUAGAUGGGCAUGCGUUCCAUUAGGUAGUUGGUGAGGUAACGGCUCACCAAGCCGACGAUGGAUAGGGGAACUGAGAGGUUGGUCCCCCACACUGGUACUGAGACACGGACCAGACUCCUACGGGAGGCAGCAGUGAGGAAUAUUGGUCAAUGGGCGAGAGCCUGAACCAGCCAAGUCGCGUGAAGGAAGAAGGAUCUAUGGUUCGUAAACUUCUUUUGCAGGGGAAUAAAGUGCAGGACGUGUCCUGUUUUGUAUGUACCCUGAGAAUAAGGAUCGGCUAACUCCGUGCCAGCAGCAGC
Molecule: ribosomal RNA, 510 nt
Filed under: uncultured bacterium
Lineage: Bacteria
Description: bacterial SSU rRNA
Rfam family: Bacterial small subunit ribosomal RNA
Source: RNAcentral